Microtus oregoni (creeping vole) is the source of this 360-nucleotide non-coding RNA. NCBI's taxonomy places the organism in Eukaryota, Metazoa, Chordata, Mammalia, Rodentia, Cricetidae. The record is from the annotation of a RefSeq genome assembly.
AUGCUCUCUGAGCGUCUAUUAGCAAUCCUCUGGAUGCAGCUAACAGUGGUGAACGGCCAAGUACUGAGUCAGAGUGCGCAGUAUGUAUUCAUCCCAGAAGGAAAGGAUGUCUCCAUGAGCUGCAACUCCUCAAGUGCACUUGACAAUGUUCUGUGGUACAAGCAGGACCCUAAAGAAGGCCUGGUCCUCUUAGUGGCCUUGUAUAAGAGUGGUGAGGUGGUCAGAAGUGGCAAAGUGACUGCUGAGUUUGGUGGAACAAGAAAGGACAGUGUCCUGACUCUCUCAGUCUCGGAACCUGCAGACUCAAGUACCUACUUCUGUGCAGGAGAGCACAGUGCUCCCCAGGCACCCGCAGCCUGA